This 1855-nucleotide long non-coding RNA is filed under the name Sus scrofa (pig). Its description in RNAcentral is "lncRNA (ENSSSCG00040013525.1)". Lineage: Eukaryota; Metazoa; Chordata; Mammalia; Artiodactyla; Suidae. The record is from RNAcentral.
AUGAACUUGAUCUGUAGGCCUGGAGACUCCUCUUCACGUCCGUCCGGACAACCCCCCCCCGCCCCGCCCCUCACGUCCUUCUCCCAGCCCCUAGCUCUGAGCUGCCUCUGCUGCUGGAGCUUCUACGGCUGGAGGGCACAGCCGCCCCCAGCCUCUGCAGAGCGCUCAACGCCUGGGGCUCCUGGAGUGCGGGAGCCAGGGGCCAGGCGGCCAGCCUGGGGCAGUUCAGGGCAGUUCUGGGGCAGGUCUUCAUCAAACUCCUCCACCCGCAUCACCACACCCACUUUAUUAAUUGGGGGGGGGGUACUGAACACAGGCAGUGCCCAGGGGCAUCUCUGGCUGCGCCUGCCUCUCCCGAGCUAUGCCCGGGGCCUUCCCGCCUCCUCCACGCGCACCUCCGCGCCCCCUGAAGAAGGGGGGAGAAAGAAAUACGCAUUAAUAUCACGAGCCUUCGCGCACCAUCGCGCGCCCCCUCAACCACCUGUCUCUGCGCUCUCCCUCCCCCACUGCCUUCCUCAACUCCGGGCGCCCCCUCUGCAGCAGCGGGGCACCACGCCCACUGCGGAGCCGAGAAACGGAAGACCCUUUAGAGAACUGGAAAAGAGCUGUGAGCCCUCGCUCCAGAAAAGUGCACGUGCACCCAUAAACAUAGCUUCGCGUGGUCAGAGAAUUCUCCUGCUUCUCAAAGCUCCGGGGACCCAGCUGAAGGACACCGUCUCUGCCAGUACCCUAAGCCAGUCCAACCUGGUGAUCGGCUGUGUCGCUGCCUGUUUGCUCAUGAGGCUUCUUCCUUCAGGCACACCCCUUCUCCCCCAGUCCCACCUUUCUGCCAGUGGAAUAUCCGCUUCUCCUUGAAAGCUGGCUCGAAUACCGCCUCCUCCCUGAUUUCCCCUUCAGGGGUGUCAUCCAUGGCCGUCGUGGGUUUCUCGGAGCAUGUUCUUUGUGCCAUUUAGGUCUGUUAAUACUGUAUAUAUGUGGACCUGUGCUUAUUUUUGUGGUUGUUGUCUUAUUGCUCCUUCUAGAUUAUAAACUCUUUUAAGAUCAGUUUCCUCCUCUACAACUACCAAGGUGCCUUACAAGAUAUGCCCUUGGCAGGUAGCUCUUAAAUAAUCAAAGGGGAGUUCCCUCUCUGGUGCAAUGGGUUAAGGAGCCAGUGUUGUCUCUGUAGGAGCAUGGGUUCGAUCCCCAGACCAGGAACGUCCAUAGGCCACAGGUGCUGCCAAACACAAAUCCAAGAGAAGCGGGGUUGAGGCCCCGGAUGACAGAUGCCUUUGCUCCAGAAGAACCUGAUGCCGCUGGUCCCAGAUGCUUCGCCAACAACGUGCAUUCCCCCCAAGCACACCUUGGCACCUGGCAAGCAGAAUUCUCAAAUUAGUAGGAUCAUUUGAUCUUCUCCUCUGGGCAAGACAGACAUAAGGUAAAGCCUAGAUCAAGUUGGGGUACACGUUCAUGCAGGAUGCCCCUGACAGAUAGUAGAUAUUCCACCCCAGAUGUCCCCUCGUCUAAAAAGGGACACUGCCACCCACCAGUUGCACUUGCCAGAAGCAAACUGGUGUCAUCGUUGUCUCCUUCCCUCCAUGGGCUCCCUCCGUAUGCAUUCCCCAUCAGUCACCACAUCCUGGAUCGAUUUCAGAGACUGCCCUUCUCUCCAUCCCCGCAGCCCCCUCCCAAGCUCAGACCGGCAUUAUUUCUUGCUUGAAUUUCUGCAUCUCUCUCCAUCCUAGCUGGCCUACCUGCCUCCAGCCUCACCAGGCUCAGAUCCAGUCUCCACAACCCAGCCAGAAGGAUCUUCCAAAAAUACCAACCACUUCCUUGCUGAAAACGCUUUGGCAGCUCUGCCUUUAGGAAGGAUGAA